CAUUCAGUUGGGCACUCUAAUGAGACUGCCGGUGACAAGCCGGAGGAAGUGGGGAUGACGUCAAGUCCUCAUGGCCCUUAUAGGUGGGGCUACACACGUCAUACAAUGGCUGGUACAAAGGGUUGCCAACCCGCAGGGGGAGCUAAUCCCAUAAAGCCAGUCGUAGUCCGGAUCGUAGUCCGCAACUCGACUACGUGAAGUCGGAAUCGCUAGUAAUCGUGGAUCAGAAUGUCACGGUGAAUACGUUCCCGGGUCUU
This 257-nucleotide ribosomal RNA is filed under the name uncultured Rhodoferax sp. Its description in RNAcentral is "partial 16S ribosomal RNA". It matches the Rfam family "Bacterial small subunit ribosomal RNA", at positions 1122 to 1382 of the family's 1533-position model. The record is from RNAcentral. Lineage: Bacteria; Pseudomonadati; Pseudomonadota; Betaproteobacteria; Burkholderiales; Comamonadaceae.